This 253-nucleotide ribosomal RNA is filed under the name uncultured bacterium. Its description in RNAcentral is "partial 16S ribosomal RNA". It matches the Rfam family "Bacterial small subunit ribosomal RNA", at positions 524 to 776 of the family's 1533-position model. The record is from RNAcentral.
UACGUAGGGUGCAAGCGUUAAUCGGAAUUACUGGGCGUAAAGCGCGCGCAGGCGGUUUUGUAAGUCUGACGUGAAAUCCCCGGGCUCAACCUGGGAAUUGCGUUGGAGACUGCAAGGCUUGAAUCUGGCAGAGGGGGGUAGAAUUCCACGUGUAGCAGUGAAAUGCGUAGAGAUGUGGAGGAACACCGAUGGCGAAGGCAGCCCCCUGGGUCAAGAUUGACGCUCAUGCACGAAAGCGUGGGGAGCAAACAGG